AAUGAACGCUAGCAACGAAUCUAACACAUGCAAGUCAAAUGUGUCAACACAUGGCGACCGAGUGAGUAAAACAUAGGAAUCUACUUGAGAUAUGGGGAUAAUAAAUAAUACCCAAUAAAAAAUAUAAAGAUUAAAUCGAUCUCAAAUGAGCCGAUGUAGGAUUAGGUAGUUGGUGAAGUAAAAGACCACCAAGCCCAAGAUCCUUAGCUGGUCUUAACGGACGAUCAGCCACGACGGAACUGAAAGAAGGACCGUCCUCAAAUUAAAAGAGGCAGCAGUGGAGAAUAUUGGACAAUGGGCGAAAGCCUGAUCCAGUGACGUUGCGUGAAAUUUUCUUUUCUCAAGGAGGAUAAUGACAGUAAUUGAGGAAUAAGUCCUGGCUAACCUCGUGCCAGCAGCCGCGGUAACAC
This 410-nucleotide ribosomal RNA is filed under the name uncultured bacterium. RNAcentral's name for it is "partial 16S ribosomal RNA". It matches the Rfam family "Bacterial small subunit ribosomal RNA", at positions 30 to 526 of the family's 1533-position model. The record is from RNAcentral.